Molecule: ribosomal RNA, 769 nt
Filed under: Oerskovia sp.
Lineage: Bacteria; Bacillati; Actinomycetota; Actinomycetes; Micrococcales; Cellulomonadaceae
Description: bacterial SSU rRNA
Rfam family: Bacterial small subunit ribosomal RNA
Source: RNAcentral
CGUGCUUAACACAUGCAAGUCGAACGGUGAUGCCCAGCUUGCUGGGCGGAUCAGUGGCGAACGGGUGAGUAACACGUGAGUAACCUGCCCCAGACUCCGGGAUAAGCCUUGGAAACGAGGUCUAAUACUGGAUACGAGAUGCCCCUGCAUGGGGAGUGUCUGGAAAGAUUUAUCGGUCUGGGAUGGACUCGCGGCCUAUCAGCUUGUUGGUGGGGUAAUGGCCUACCAAGGCGACGACGGGUAGCCGGCCUGAGAGGGCGACCGGCCACACUGGGACUGAGACACGGCCCAGACUCCUACGGGAGGCAGCAGUGGGGAAUAUUGCACAAUGGGCGAAAGCCUGAUGCAGCGACGCCGCGUGAGGGAUGAAGGCCUUCGGGUUGUAAACCUCUUUCAGCAGGGAAGAAGCGCAAGUGACGGUACCUGCAGAAGAAGCGCCGGCUAACUACGUGCCAGCAGCCGCGGUAAUACGUAGGGCGCAAGCGUUGUCCGGAAUUAUUGGGCGUAAAGAGCUCGUAGGCGGUUUGUCGCGUCUGGUGUGAAAACUCAAGGCUCAACCUUGAGCUUGCAUCGGGUACGGGCAGACUAGAGUGCGGUAGGGGUGACUGGAAUUCCUGGUGUAGCGGUGGAAUGCGCAGAUAUCAGGAGGAACACCGAUGGCGAAGGCAGGUCACUGGGCCGCAACUGACGCUGAGGAGCGAAAGCAUGGGGAGCGAACAGGAUUAGAUACCCUGGUAGUCCAUGCCGUAAACGUUGGGCACUAGGUGUG